This is an RNA transcript of Antechinus flavipes (yellow-footed antechinus), 6787 nucleotides long. It is a transcript of the gene named zinc finger protein 420-like, with no coding region annotated. The record is from RefSeq and is a predicted model, not a curated record. NCBI's taxonomy places the organism in Eukaryota, Metazoa, Chordata, Mammalia, Dasyuromorphia, Dasyuridae. The transcript is spliced from 8 exons.
GGGUCUGACCCCUUCCCGUCCCUGUCCUCUGACCCUGACCUCCUUCCUACCGUCCUUCUCUCUGGGGGCGACGGUGAAGAUGAGCCGGCCCCGCCCUGCCACGGACGUCACCUGUUGUCAUGACGUCACCGCCACGCCCCCUUUCCAUCCACCGACCUCCCCCUUCUUCUCUCCCAACGCCUUGGGCCUUGUCCCAGUCCCUGUCCCCGGUCCCAAGCAGGGUCCUUCCUCCCCACGUGUGCCAGGGUCCUUGAAGGGUCUUGAUCACAUCCUCAGGCCGCCUGAAUAGAGCUGCGUUUAUUACAUAGCUGCUGGAUCCCUUCCACUGACGGAAUCCAUAGACCAUCAAGGCCUGGAUCCCUAUUGAGAGCCCCCGAGCCAGGAUCCCAGCCAGUGAGACACUGCCCUAAUACUGACAUGGCUGUGCCCCUGAACUCCCACGUCCUGGGCCCCCAGGAACCAGUCGGACUCCUGAGUUUGAAGGUGAUGGACGACGUGCCCGGGGACGAGGAGUUCGUCCCCGGAGAGGACCUCGACACGGACUAUGACGCCUUCUGCCGAGGGCUCACCGACGACCUUGGAGAUCCGCAUGAAAGGGCGGAACAGUUCCUGACCAUCAUGCUUGGGAACGUGGAGACCUGGAUGAAGUUACAGCAUCUGGAGCCCAGUGAGGAGGUCCUGAUCGUGGAGGACUCAACCCAGCUGCUUGAGAGGAGAGAUCUGCUGUGCCGGGACCCCACCUUUCACGAGGAGUGGAACCCAGAGAAGGAGGUGGAGGAGAUGGCUGCCGAGUUCCUGGCCUCCAGGUCCCAGGAGCCGGUGACGUUCCAGGACGUGGCCGUGGACUUCAGCCAGGAGGAGUGGGGGCAGCUGGACCCUGCCCAGAGGGACCUGUACCGGGACGUGAUGCUGGAGAACUACGGAAAUCUGGUGUCCCUGGGACUUGUGGUGUCCGAACCUAGUGUCAUCUAUCAUUUGGAACAAAAGAAAGAGCCAUGGAAACUGGAUCUACAGGGAACUGACAAGACAAAGGUGCUAAGAGGCACCUGGCCAGACCAGAAUACCCAAACUGAGAGCCAGGCAAAAUCAUCCACUUCGAAACAAGGCACUUCUGAAGAAGGGUUCCUUUGGGGGUCAAUCAUGGAAAAGUCCACAAGGGAUGGUUCCUUGAACUCUAAGUUAAGCGUAGCCAGUCAGUGUGAAGGCAAGUUGAAAAGAAAAAAGAAAAGAAGAAAUCAGGAGAAACUCUAUGAAUGUAGUGAAUGCAGAAAAGCCUUUAAUCACUUCUCCGCCCUUAUUCGACAUCAGAGAAUUCACACCGGAGAGAAGCCCUAUGAAUGUGGUGAGUGUGGGAAGACCUUUAGCCAAAGUACAUGCCUUACUGUACAUCAGAGAAUUCACACCGGAGAGAAACCCUAUGAAUGUGGUGAAUGUGGGAAGACCUUCAGUGACAGCUCGACCCUCAUUCGGCAUCGCAUCAUUCAUAACAUAGAGAAACCAUAUAAGUGUCACGAAUGUGAGAAAUCCUUCAGUUACUGCUCAGCCCUCAUUCGACACCUUCGGAUUCACACUGGAGAGAAACCCUAUGAAUGUAACGAAUGUGGGAAAUCCUUCAGCCACAGCACGUGCCUUACCCAACAUCAGAGAACUCACACUGGAGAGAAACCUUACGAAUGCAGUGAAUGCGGGAAAGCCUUCAGCCAGAACUCAUCCCUUUAUUAUCAUCAGAGGACUCAUACUGGAGAGAAACCCUAUAAGUGCACUGAAUGUGGGAAAGCCUUCAGUUACCAUGCUUCACUCACCCAACAUAAGCAAACGCAUACAGGGGAGAGACCCUAUGAAUGUAGGGAAUGUGGGAAAACCUUCAGUCGAAGCACAUAUAUUAUUGAACACCAGAGAAUUCAUACUGGAGAGAAACCCUAUGAAUGUACUGACUGUGGAAAAACCUUCAGAUAUUGCUCAGCUCUUACUCAGCAUCAGAAAAUGCAUACAGAAGAGAAACCCUAUGAAUGCCGAGAAUGUGGGAAAGGCUUCCAUUUCUAUUCAGCUCUCAUUCAGCAUCGGAAAACUCAUACUGGAGAGAAACCCUUUGAAUGUACCGACUGUGGGAAAGCCUUUAUCCGGAGUACCUGCCUUACUCAACAUCAGAAAAUUCACAGUGGAGAAAAAUGCCAAGAAAACAGUGGACCGAAGAAAGCCUUUGGCCAAAGCUCUUCCCUUCCUGAAAACCAGAGAGUUAAAACAGGAGGGAAAUCCUUUGAGUGCAAUGAAUGUGGGAAAAUCUUUAAGUAUUACUCAAUCCUUGCUCAACAUCAGAAAACUCAUACUGGUGAAAAGCCCUAUGAGUGCAAUGAAUGUGGGAAGACCUUUAGCCGGAGCACAUGCCUUACCAAACAUAAUAGAACUCAUACAGGUGAGAAACCCUAUUUAUGCAGUGUAUGUGGGAAAGCCUUCAGUCAAAACUCGUCCCUUACCGAACAUCAGAGAAUUCACACUGGAGAGAAACCCUACGAAUGCAGUAAAUGCGGGAAAGCCUUCAGCCGGAGCACGUUCCUUACUCGUCAUCAGCAGACUCAUACUGGAGAGAAGCCCUAUGAGUGCAGUGAAUGUGGGAAGUCCUUCAGCCAGAGGUCAUCCCUUUAUUAUCAUCAGAGAACUCACACUGGAGAGAAACCAUAUGAGUGCUUUGAAUGUGGAAAAUCCUUCAGCAGAAGCACAUUUCUCACUCAACAUCAGAGAAUCCAUACUGGAGAAAAACCUUAUGCGUGCAGUGAAUGUGGAAACACCUUCAGUAGGCGUGCAGCCCUCACCAAGCAUCAAAAACUUCACACUGAAAAGUAAUUCUAGAAAAAAAGAAAGAAAAAAAGAAAGCUCUGUUGAAACAAUUAAGUAACAUCUGUGUUGGAAGUUAAAGCCAUAGGGUCUUUGGCCACCUCUUCAUGGCCUUGGAUUGAGAGUGUGACUGACGCUGCUGGAUUUCCUUCUGUGAAGCCCCUUUCUGAGACCUCCGAGAGCUGGGACCCUCCUGAGGAGACAGUGUCCCCCAGACAAACUCUCAGCUGGAAAAGCCCCGGUUGACAGCUGACCCCCAAAGACCUGGCCCUGGCUGCCUCCCCUCUCCCUCCCAAGCACCCCCUACACCCCAACUCCUGAGAGUAAAAUACAGGGGUGGGGAUCAUCCUAGGAGGAGGCAAAUGACUGACGCCUCUUGCCGAGGCAUCCCCGGAGCUUCGGGCCAGCAUUUCCUGGCUUUCUAGCCCAGGAAGGUGGAGACCUGGGUGAAGGCCCAGCACCCAGAGUCUGUUAACAAGGUGCUUUGACUCAAAAAGUUAUUCAGAAAGGUGAUCACCCCUAACUUAGGUGUGGGGAGGCCGUGUCCAGGGCGUAAAGGCCUGAGGUUGGGGGUGGGGGGAAAGACACUUGGAAAAGAGGGUCCCAGAAAUGAGUUCCCCUGACCUCAGGCUGUGGUGGGAGGGAGGAGCGGGGGGAGAUGGAGAGGGGAAAAGAGGGAGAGGGAAGAGAGAAAUGGGGAAGGGGAAAAGGGGAGGAAGAGAAAAAGAGGGAGGGAGGAAGAGAGAAAGAGGGAGAGAUAGAGGUAGGCAGAGAGGAAAGGGGAGAGAAGGAAGAGAAAAUGGGGAGAAGGAGAGGAAGAAGGGAGAGGGGAGGAGAGAGAGGCAGGUAGACAGGCAGAGAAAGGGGAGAGAGAGGAGAGAAAGGGAAGGAAAGAAAAGGAGGAGAAAGAGAAAAGGGAGGAAAAGAAAGGAGGGAAGAAGAAAGGAGAGGAAGAGAGGGGAAGAGAAAGGUGGAGGAGGGGGGAGAAAAGGGGCAGAGAAAGGAGGGAGAGGAAAAGAGAGGGAAAAAAAGGCAGAGAGGAAGGAAGAGAAAGGGGGGGAGAGAGCAAGAGAAAGUUCCUCUUGAACCCUCUGUGUCCCAUCUUUCCCCUGUAUGUCCUCCUGAAGCCAUACUAGGAGUGCACACACUCUUCAGGGGGAUCACUCUCCCGCUGCCAAGUUGUUCUGGCUUCUCACCCCCUUGGAAACUUCUCCUGACCUUGUCGAUGGCCGUCCGCCGUCCCUUGGGCUCUCGUUUCUUUUUCCCAGAAUCACGGGGGGCAGACGAGGCUGACGCUCUGAGCCCCUACAACAAAGACAAGGCGCCUACUGAGUUUCCUGAGCCCCUAAGACUUGUUAGCGUUACCAGAGCCAGCAAACAGUUCCUCUGUGUAACGGCAGGGCCUUUGGUGACUCCUCACAGAGGCGACGGCUCCGGAGAGCCCAGAAACGGGUCUUCGCUACAUCCUGGGCGGGGGAGCAGGGGGAGAGAUGGGAAAAGGAAUGUUCUCCUUCCCAGGUCAGGAGCUUCACUCUGGGGCCCCUGGCAGGGAUCCCCCCCCCAUCCCCGAAGGGCGCUUGGCCAUGUCUCUGCUUGAAUCUUUUCUGGAGAAAAGGGGGCCACAACCUCCCAAGAGCUCAUUCCAUCCUUGGGGUGACUCUGCUUGUUAAGCUCCUCCUUCACACUGAGCCCAAACCCUGUCGCCCCUUCCCCAGUGAGAGCCCGAGUUGGGACGGUUCUCAGAAGUGGGAUUCCGCAGACGGGCUUGUCUCCCCCGUGGGCUCCCUCGAUGAGGUUCCGGAUCUCGUCGGUGACAGGCUCAGCCCCCAGGGAGGGAAUGGAAUUUCUUGUCCCACCCCCUCAUCCCUCCCCACAGAAGAGCUCGGGGGCCACCAGCUUCAUGCGAGAUAGGGCUUGAACCCUUGCCAAAGCUGCAUUAAGGGGUGCUAUCCCUUACCGUUAACUGUCAUUUGGCAUUAGGGCCUUGGACUUGGAGUUAGGAAGACCCUAGUCUGAGCCUGAGCUUGUCACCUCUUAGCCUCAGUUUCCCCAUCUGUAAAAUGGGGAUUAUAAUAUUACAGCACCUACUUCACAGGGUUGUCAUGUAUCAAACCAGAAUGCUUCAAGUGCUAUAUAAUGUUCGCUGCUAUCAUCACGUACCCAGGGGCUUCCCUUAACUGGGCUUCGCUCAUUGGGAAAAAUGCUUUUGGUCUGGUCCCAUGAUUUCAUCAGAACGGACAUUCCUGAUGCUGGGAGCAAGUUCUAAGCAACCUAGAGGGUUGCCCGGGGCACGGAUUGAUUGUCCUGCCAGGAGCCAGGCAGCCAACUAACACACUCAGUGUCUCUAUCUUUUUUUCACUCUCUCUGUCUCUUUAUCUCUGUGUCUCUGCCGCUGUAUUCAUGUCUCUGUCUCUGUUUCCCUUUCUCUGCCUGCCCCUUCCUCUCCGUCUCUGUGUCUCUGCCUCUCUCUCUUUGUCUCUCUCUCUCUGUCUCUGUCUCUCUCUCUCUCUGUGUGUCUCUGUCUCUGUCUCUGUGUCUCUGUCUCUGUCUCUCUCUGUCUCUUUCUCUGUCUCUGUCUCUCUCUGUCUCUCUCUGUCUCCAUCUCUGUGUCUCUGUCUGUCUCUCCCCCUCUCCCUCUCUUUCCUCCCCCUUUCUUUCCUUCUCCUCUGCCCUGGCUGCCUGGGCAUUCUCUGCCCAUCACCGAGGGAAGCUGCCCUGGGUUCCAGGAGUGGCCGAUAACUGAGGGCCAGAGCCGGGGAAGAGGCUGCCUCGGCACCUUCCCUGCGGAGGGAGGGUUGGGAUGAGGGACUCCCCCCCCUCAGGGCUCCGAGGGAUUUCAUUCUCCUGCUUAGCCCCAGAUAACAGGUCUGGGACCAAGACCUGGAAGGUGCAAAGGGGUGAAUCCCUGCUCCAUGUGAGGAGAAACUUCCUGCUAAUGAGGGCUGUCUAAAAGUGACUGGAGCUGCUCCUGCGGGAGUGAGGGUCUCUGAGGGUGUUGGAGCAGAGGCCACUUGGAGGGGAUGAGUCUCUCGAAACCAGGCUCUUGUCCUGCUCCAGGGCUCUGCCCUGACUGUGGAGGCCGGUCCGGCCAGCUGCCUCCUCCCGGGCCCUCCCUCCUUCCCCACACCAGCCCCACCCUCCCAGCCUUUCCCCAAACCAGGGCCCUGAAUCUGCAGGGGGGAAAGUGCCAAAAGCGAGCCCCGAUGUUGGGCCCUCCAUCCCAUCCCAUCCAUCCAUCAUCAGGCAUUGCUAGCUAAUCAAACAGUGCCCCCUGCUGGCCACAGGCCAAAGUCCAACCCACUUCCAGACCUACUAGACAAGAACUCAGCUGGGGUCAUGGGGAUAGAUUUGGGGGGUGGGGGGGUCCAUGAAGUGGGAUGUAAAGAAACUAGGGCUUUGUUUUCACUGACUGAAGUUUGGCCUCUCCUGCAGUUAUGAGCGUUAAAGAGCGCUCUGGGGGGAGGCGGCCGCCAGAUUGCCAAAGGGCUUCAUCCCCCACAAUGGGGAAUACCCCGGGGGAGGUUCUGCUGCUUUAUCCAGAAGCCGGGCUCCCGAGGCUGGCGCGCUGCGGCCCGGCGCCCGCCUGCCCAGGCUUCGGUGUCCGCCCCCAACCCCGGACAUCCUGCGCCUCUGGGCAGCCGGUCCCGGGAGUCUGGCCCUGACUCACCUGGCCAUACCCAGGGGUCCUUAGGUCACGGUGCAAUUGGGGAAUUCCUAACCAAAAACCCACCAACUCGUAGGUUCCAUUUUCAAGGUCAGUGUGGCCAGCAGGGGUCCUUAGAUCUAGUUUAGUGGCCCCAUCGUGCUCCAUGGCUGCCUGUGUCACAUCCCAUCCGUCAACUAGACUGUCAGCUCCGUGAGGGCAGGGUCCGUAUCCUAUCUAAACACUUAUUCCCCCUGCGCCGAGCACAGCUCUCAGCACACAAUCGAUGUUUAAUAAACGUUUGCUCUGUUA